Molecule: unclassified non-coding RNA, 140 nt
Filed under: soil metagenome
Description: partial internal transcribed spacer 1
Source: RNAcentral
UAAUAAGUGUUUAUGGCACUUCUUAAAUCCAUAUCCACCUUGUGUGCAAUGUCAGCCGUUUUUCUUUAUGAAAGCGGCCAAACAUCAACUUAUUUUUUAACUGUCUGUCUGAAAACUAUUAUGAAUAAACAAUUCAAAUA